This 1961-nucleotide long non-coding RNA is filed under the name Nicotiana benthamiana. RNAcentral's name for it is "long non-coding RNA (NBEN_LNC022108)". The record is from RNAcentral. Lineage: Eukaryota; Viridiplantae; Streptophyta; Magnoliopsida; Solanales; Solanaceae.
CCAAACCUUUCUCCUAACGCUUUUCACCCUCGUCUCUAAAGAACUCUAGAGAUGCCGCCCCUCAAUUUCCCAUUUGCCAGUGGCGGCGCCGGUCGCAAAUGGCCCCAAUUAACACCACAAAACCCUCAUGUCUCCCUCUCCUCUAAUCUACAAUUGUUUUCCUUCGAAUCUUAAACGGAUGACAUGAACCUUUUUAUCCCAAAACUAAGUCAAUGGGACUUGGGAAGAUUUGAAGUUGAAAUCGACUUUAUUCAUGUGUUUUCGUUUGAAAACACAUGAUUAAAGCCCAUUCGGUUAAAAUUUAAAGUUCAAGAGUUAAUUUCAAGAUUUGGCCGUCCAAUUUUAGGUAUUUUUACUACCUAUUCUUGCAUGUUUUCCUUUUUUUCGUUUAAUUUCAAUUUUAUCUUUUUUCUACAUCCUUUAUUCUUUUCUUCAUUAUGUGUCCAUUUGUUCAUUUAUUCUAUUUCUUCAUAUUUAUCUUAAUAACCAUUUUCGCUCAUUUAUUUUGUCAAUUAGUUCAUUUCCAUUUCUCUGCUGUUUAUGGUUCCAUUCUUAAAAGGUUUCCAGAAUUUUCUAUUGGGGAAGUUUUGGUCAGUCCUUUAAAUUGUGAAUUCUUUAUUAUAGUUUGAAUUACACUCUAAAAAUCAAAAAGCCCAAAAAGGGAUUUAACCUGGAUUUACAUAUCUAUAACACUUUGAAUUGGGUCAAUUUGACCCACAUCUGGUGUGGUUUCAGGGGUAAUAACAGGGGUAUUGAAGGGUAAAUUUGGAAAUCUAGGUAGAGAAUCUCUUGUAACUGACUGAAGGAAGCUUCUUAGAAGCUUUCCUUAGGACCUAAAUGAAAAUUGAUUUUUAAGUUAAGGGUAUUAGAGCAAGAAUGAAAUUGAAAAAGGUUUCAAGUGCAAAACUAAAUGCAAUUCUUCAGCCCUUAAACCUUGCCUAUAAAGGCACAUUUUCUUCAAGCUCAAAUCAAAAAAUUGAGAGAUAAAAAAACUCCUAAAAAUUGAAAUGGCAAAAGACUCUGAAAUAUCUUUGAAUUCUCUGUAUUUUCUUGCUGAAAACUGCUCGAAUUUUGGUUGGUUUUUGAUUUCUUAUCUUCAUUUCUUAGUGAAAACUACUGAAAAAUGACAAAGUUUUGCACCUGGGUUGAAAUGGAUUGUUUUUUGGAUUUUUUAAAAGUCUUGGCUUGGAGUUUUUGGCUAUUGUUUGUACUGUUUCAUUGUUGAGUUGGGGCUGAUUUCUAUUGCUGCUUCUCAUUGUUGAUUUCCGCUACUGCUGCUUCCUCUUGAUCUCCAUCUUGAUAUUCUGAUUUUAUUUUGCUAUAAUUAGGUAGUUUUCCAAAAUCAUUAUCAACAAGUGAUGUAUUUUGAGUUGUAGCCUGACUGAAUACGAGGUGAUGAGUAAUUCUCUAGAUUUUGUUACUGUUUGGUAUUGAGAAAGAGUUAGUUGGUUUGAAGUUUCAUGUUGUGUUUUUGUAAGUUUAGCCUAGUUUGAAUCCACGCAUGAAUGUUUGUUAGUAUGAGGUUGUGUUCUUAGUAGUAUGCAAAGUUUCCUGAUGUAUUAGCUAUUGGGUAGUGAUGAGAUUUAUCAGUAUCUGUUGAGUGUAAAGGGUUGUUUUGCUUUAACAUGGACUCGAUGUUUAGUCUAGAAUCCUCAACCUUGUUUUUUACAGGGUUUGGGCUAAUUGACCUUGGAUUCUGAGGUCAUUUACAACGGAAGAUUGCAUGUUAUUGCUAUUUGGGCUUGUUUUCUCGAGCCUAGUAGCUCAUUCAUUUGGCUGCUGUAUUUUUCUGGUAGCAGAUUUUACCCAAUAAUGCAUGAAAGAUAAAAUUAGAAAUUUAUCUUAGUUAAUUUAUGUUGAAUGUUUAAAAUCAUAGUUUAAGUUUUCCAAUUCGAUCUCCUGUUCCAUGUUAGCAUCAGUUUGAUUUGCAUUAUUUGAUUUGGGUAUGAAUCAUUUGGAUC